GUGAGGAAUAUUGGUCAAUGGGCGCAAGCCUGAACCAGCCAUGCCGCGUGCAGGAAGACGGUCCUAUGGAUUGUAAACUGCUUUUAUUUGGGAAUAAACUCCGGUACGUGUACCGGCCUGAAGGUACCAAAUGAAUAAGCACCGGCUAACUCCGUGCCAGCAGCCGCGGUAAUACGGAGGGUGCAAGCGUUAUCCGGAAUCAUUGGGUUUAAAGGGUCCGCAGGCGGUCUUAUAAGUCAGUGGUGAAAGCCUACAGCUCAACUGUAGAACUGCCAUUGAUACUGUAGGACUUGAAUUCGAUCGAAGUGGGCGGAAUGUGACAUGUAGCGGUGAAAUGCUUAGAUAUGACAUAGAACACCUAUUGCGAAGGCAGCUUACUACGCAUAUAUUGACGCUGAGGCACGAAAGCGUGGGGAUCAAACAGGAUUAGAAACCCGGGUAGUCC
Molecule: ribosomal RNA, 445 nt
Filed under: uncultured bacterium
Lineage: Bacteria
Description: partial 16S ribosomal RNA
Rfam family: Bacterial small subunit ribosomal RNA
Source: RNAcentral